Molecule: ribosomal RNA, 408 nt
Filed under: uncultured bacterium
Lineage: Bacteria
Description: partial 16S ribosomal RNA
Rfam family: Bacterial small subunit ribosomal RNA
Source: RNAcentral
GACGAACGCUGGCGGCGUGCUUAACACAUGCAAGUCGAACGAAGUGGCGAACGGGUGAGUAACGCGUAAUCAACCUGCACUUCAAAGAGGGACAACAGUUGGAAACGACGGCUAAUCCCACAUCCUGCAGGAGGGGAUUGCGUCUGAUUCGCGAGUUGGAGGGCGAACGGCCCACAAAGGCGAGGAUAAGUAGCCGGUCUGAGAGGAUGAACGGCCACAUUGGGACUGAGACACGGCCCAGACUACUACGGGAGGCAGCAGUGGGGAAUCUUCCGCAAUGGACGAAAGUCUGACGGAGCAACGCCGCGUGAGUGAUGACGGCCUUCGGGUUGUAAAGCUCUGUUAAUCGGGACGCGGUACCGGAAUAGAAAGCCACGGCUAACUACGUGCCAGCAGCCGCGGUAAUAC